UACAGGGGGUGCAAACGUUGCUCGGAAUCAUUGGGCGUAAAGCGCACGUAGGCGGUCUGUUAUGUCGGAUGUGAAAGCCCUUGGCUCAACUGAGGAAGUGCAUCCGAAACUGGCAGGCUAGAGUACUAAAGAGGAUCGCGGAAUUCCCGGUGUAGAGGUGAAAUGCGUAGAUAUUGGGAGGAACACCGGUGGCGAAGGCGGCCCUCUGGACCGGUACUGACGCUGAUGCGCGAAAGCGUGGGUAGCAAACGGG
This 253-nucleotide ribosomal RNA is filed under the name uncultured bacterium. Its description in RNAcentral is "partial 16S ribosomal RNA". It matches the Rfam family "Bacterial small subunit ribosomal RNA", at positions 524 to 776 of the family's 1533-position model. The record is from RNAcentral.